Molecule: non-coding RNA, 5812 nt
Organism: Cherax quadricarinatus
Lineage: Eukaryota; Metazoa; Arthropoda; Malacostraca; Decapoda; Parastacidae
Source: RefSeq, a predicted model, not a curated record
ACAAAUAUUAGUAGUGUACCAUCUCACAGGCGAGUCAGUUGUCCUCCAGACUUCGUGGUGGGAGGAUGUGUCACCUCGGCUCCUCAUUUAUGUUCUUAGGAAUGUGUAGCAAGGAGGCGUGUUGUCAUGAGCGGAAGAAACAACGAGACAACCGCUGCCACCAAGGACAAACUGGCUGACCAGGGAGAGGAGCUCAAGGAUCUCCAACCGCCACAAGACUGCAGAAGGGAAGCGUAUUAGUAACAGUGAUGCAAGACGAUGGAUCAUCACCCGUUACGUGAUUUGACCCACCAAAUGGAGAACUUCUGGCUACUUUCAACUCGCAAGAUUCAUUAUCGCUACUGCAAAUUAACUAGAUACGAAGAUUCAUUACUUGACCCAGCAAACAUAAAAGCCCAUCUAAUAGACUGAACUGGUAAAACAAUGGGAAGGAGCCCCACACUAAAGUAUAAUCUCGGACAAAAUUUAAGUAUCUUGACAGCCAACAAGUGUUACGGAAUGUGCUAUCAUGAAACAGUGCUGCAGUCACUGUGAGGGGAGGGAUUAAAACCACAAUGUUGAAAAAAAUAUUUUAAUUUUCAGUAUGAAAUUCCUUACUAUUGUGCUUUUGUGGUCAUUGGUCAGUGUAAAAGUAGAAAUUAAUCAUUAUAAUGUAUUUGCAUCUGGGAGGCUAACCCAAUUAGCACCACAUCAUGGCUGCAUCACUCAUGAAUAGCACCUUAAUGAGAACCAUGUGAAAAUUUUAAUGUUUGAUGCUGUAUAUAAUACAUGUUCUCAUCUUGGUACUGUUCUUUGAGGACUAAGUGUAAGGUAAUGCAAAUAUGUAUUUCCUGUGGCACUCGACUAACACCCUGUUCACACAGACAUUCACCACCCUCAUUGCCACCCACACCAGUCACAGUCAUCACACUGCCCUGCUUCCAGCACCCCUCACACCCCAUACCCUUGAGUUUCUCAAGUCUUAGUAUUCUUGGAGCCUGGCCACGGACCAGGCUCAUCUGGUGCUAGCCUGGUCAACCAAGCUCUUUCUGUUGGAGGCCUAUUGCCCCACAUAUCUGACACAGCCUGGUUGAUUGGCACCUUGUGAAGAUACUUGUUUAGUUUUCUCUCGACUUCUACACUUGUUCCAGUAGUGUUUCUGAUUUCUGGUAAAAUGUUGAUACUGUGUUCCCUAAUUGUGCCCAUCACACCCCUGCUUUUCACUGGGUUUGUUUUGCACUUUCCACCCAUUUCUCACGCUCCAGUAUAUUAUGGUAGCAAUGCAGAUUUGGAACCAGGCCCUGUAAUACUUUCCAGGUAUAUAUCAUGUAUCUCUCCUCCACUCCACUGAGUACAUGUUCAAGACUUUAAAUGCUUUACUGGCUCUUUGUGGGCCAUAACAAUCUCUGUAUGUGUUCCAGCUGUGAUAUUUCUCCAGCCUUGAACGGGGCCGUCAACACUGAGCAAUAGUCCAAAUGAGAGAGCACUAACGAUUUGAAAAGUGUCUCCAUUGGCAUUAUUUCCCUUGUUUUGAAAGUUUUCAGUACCCCCCUUAAGGGAGAAUCCUUGAUGCUGUUGAAGGGCUCUUGAUCUAGGGAAUUGGAUCUGUGCUCCAGUUCCUUGAAUUAAGCCUGAAUACCUUCCAUCCCCCCCACAAAGGUGUUGUAUAAUCCUACAGGUUUAGUGCUUCCCCAUGAUUAUUAUAAUACCCACCCCAUCAUCUUCCUGUCAUGAUCUAUGUUCUUGGAAAGAAAGGUCAGCUGACAUAAUUAUUCCUAAGUCUUUCAUGUGUUUCGUUCUAUUUGGUGAUCCUCUUAAGUUUUCUAUAGUUUGAGUUCAUUCUUUCCACACCUAAGUAGCUGGAACUUAUCACCACUGAAUGUCAUGUUCUCCACUGCCCACUGGAAAACACUGCUUUUAUCUUCUUGUAAUUUUUCAGUGUCUUCCACCUUAUAGUGACUUUCAUGCUUGUAAAGUAAAAGGACAUAAGUGCAACUAAUGUGACAUUUUAUUGUGGCAACAUUUCGCUCUCCAGGAGCUUUGUCAAGCCGUAACUGCUUGACAACCUCCUGGAGAGCGCAACGUUGCCACAAAAUGUCACAUUAGUUGUACUUGUGUCCUUUUACUUUACAUUUAUUAUUUUUAUUAUCACACUGGCCGAUUCCCACCAAGGCAGGGUGGCCCGAAAAAGAAAAACUUUCACCAUCAUUCACUCCAUCACUGUCUUGCCAGAAGGGUGCUUUACACUACAAUUUUUAAACUGCAACAUUAACACCCCUCCUUCAGAGUGCAGGCACUGUACUUCCCAUCUCCAGGACUCAAGUCCGGCCUGCCGGUUUCCCUGAACCCCUUCAUAAAUGUUACUUUGCUCACACUCCAACAGCACGUCAAGUAUUAAAAACCAUUUGUCUCCAUUCACUCCUAUCAAACACGCUCAUGCAUACCUGCUGGAAGUCCAAGCCCCUCGCACACAAAACCUCCUUUACCCCCUCUCUCCAACCUUUCCUAGGCCGACCCCUACCCCGCCUUCCUUCCACUACAGACUGAUACACUCUUGAAGUCAUUCUGUUUCGCUCCAUUCUCUCUACAUGUCCGAACCACCUCAACAACCCUUCCUCAGCCCUCUGGACAACAGUUUUGGUAAUCCCGCACCUCCUCCUAACUUCCAAACUACAAAUUCUCUGCAUUAUAUUCACACCACACAUUGCCCUCAGACAUGACAUCUCCACUGCCUCCAGCCUUCUCCUCGCUGCAACAUUCAUCACCCAUGCUUCACACCCAUAUAAGAGCGUUGGUAAAACUAUACUCUCAUACAUUCCCCUCUUUGCCUCCAAGGACAAAGUUCUUUGUCUCCACAGACUCCUAAGUGCACCACUCCUCUUUUUCCCUCAUCAAUUCUAUGAUUCACCUCAUCUUUCAUAGACCCAUCCGCUGACACGUCCACUCCCAAAUAUCUGAAUACAUUCACCUCCUCCAUACUCUCUCCCUCCAAUCUGAUAUUCAAUCUUUCAUCACCUAAUCUUUUUGUUAUCCUCAUAACCUUACUCUUUCCUGUAUUCACCUUUAAUUUUCUUCUUUUGCACACCCUACCAAAUUCAUCCACCAAUCUCUGCAGCUUCUCUUCAGAAUCUCCCAAGAGCACAGUGUCAUCAGCAAAGAGCAGCUGUGACAACUCCCACUUUGUGUGUGAUUCUUUAUCUUUUAACUCCACGCCUCUUGUCAAGACCCUCGCAUUUACUUCUCUUACAACCCCAUCUAUAAAUAUAUUAAACAACCACGGUGACAUCACACAUCCUUGUCUAAGGCCUACUUUUACUGGGAAAUAAUUUCCCUCUUUCCUACAUACUCUAACUUGAGCCUCACUAUCCUCGUAAAAACUCUUCACUGCUUUCAGUAACCUACCUCCUACACCAUACACUUGCAACAUCUGCCACAUUGCCCCCUAUCCACCCUGUCAUACGCCUUUUCCAAAUCCAUAAAUGCCACAAAGACCUCUUUAGCCUUAUCUAAAUACUGUUCACUUACAUGUUUCACUGUAAACACCUGGUCCACACACCCCCUACCUUUCCUAAAGCCUCCUUGUUCAUCUGCUAUCCUAUUCUCCGUCUUACUCUUAAUUCUUUCAAUAAUAACUCUACCAUACACUUUACCAGGUAUACUCAGCAGACUUAUCCCCCUAUAAUUUUUGCACUCUCUUUUAUCCCCUUUGCCUUUAUACAAAGGAACUAUGCAUGCUCUCUGCCAAUCCCUAGGUACCUUACCCUCUUCCAUACAUUUAUUAAAUAAUUGCACCAACCACUCCAAAACUAUAUCCCCACCUGCUUUUAACAUUUCUAUCUUUAUCCCAUCAAUCCCGGCUGCCUUACCCCCUUUCAUUUUACCUACUGCCUCACGAACUUCCCCCACACUCACAAUUGGCUCUUCCUCACUCCUACAAGAUGUUAUUCCUCCUUGCCCUAUACACAAAAUCACAGAUUCCCUAUCUUCAACAACAUUUAACAAUUCCUCAAAAUAUUCCCUCCAUCUUCCCAAUACCUCUAACUCUCCAUUUAACCCUUUGAGGGUCGACAGGCCCUCUCCGAAACUCGUUCUCAGGGUCGGCCAAAUUUAAAAAAAAAAAAAAUUAUUUUCUCUUAUGAAAAGAUAGAGAAUCUUUUCCCGAUCAUAACGACACCAAAAGUUUGAAAUUUGAUAGAAAACUUACUGAAUUAUGCUCUCGCAAAGUUAGCGGUCUCGGCGAUGUUUACGGAUCGGCGAUUUUGCCCACUUUGAGCCCCAUUUUCGGCCAAUUUCACUGUACUAGUCGACAAAAAACAUGAAUAUUUCGCUAGAACUCCAUUUUUUCUAUCGAAUGGGUGCAAGAAACCACCCAUUUAUAAAUUCAACUAUCCAGUACAGUGGUCAGAAUUUAGCAAUUUUGCCAAUUUCACACAAAUUUCAAAAGAUGCCAAUUUUCGAAUAGGGUCCAGAAUAAACAAGAAAGACAUUCCUGGCACUAAAAUGACAUUUCCUCUAGUCAUUAGUCACGUCUCAAGGCCCCUCUUAUAUUCUUUUGCUUUCCACUUUGAAUUUUUAUUCUCACAAAAAAUAUAAGAUUUACUGUUAUGCAGACUACUGCAUUAGUGUAAAAAAUGGUAUAAAUAUUAUUGGUGCACUUGUGAAAGAAUAUUAGACUCACCAGUUGACGUGUAUUGCACGCUUGGCACGAUUUGUUUACUUUUGAAGUUUGGUAAAAAUCGAACAUUUCUGCUACUUUGAGCUCAGUUUCAAGGCACCUUUCAUUGUAAAACCAGUCAAAAUCAUCUCAAUUUCAGUAAUAUGUCUUCCAUUCUAUAAAAUGAGACCAAGAAAACUAGAAUACAACAAUAAAUACCAUACGAAAAUACGCUGAUUUAUUAAAAAAAAAUGGUCAAAGUUUUUUUUUUCUCAUUAUGCACUGUGUGCUGCAGGAUUCUUUUUAGACUGUGCACACUGACCACAUAGACCCAUUCUUUCAUAUGAAGGCCUACCAGCUUUCUCCCACUAGAUUUGAGGCCGCUAGAAUUUAUGAGUACUAGUACGUCAAAAACCCCUACGCGUAAGACGUACUAGUACGACGAAAACCCUCAAAGGGUUAAUAACUCUCCUCUCCUAUUUUUAACUGACAAAUCCAUUUGUUCUCUAGGCUUUCUUAACUUGUUAAUCUCACUCCAAAACUUUUUCUUAUUUUCAACAAAAUUUGUUGAUAACAUCUCACCCACUCUCUCAUUUGCUCUUUUUACAUUGCUUCACCACUCUCUUAACCUCUCUCUUUUUCUCCAUAUAAUCUUCCCUCCUUGCAUCACUUCUACUUUGUAAAAACUUCUCAUAUGCUAACUUUUUCUCCCUUACUACUCUCUUUACAUCAUCAUUCCACCAAUCGCUCCUCUUCCCUCCCGCACCCACUUUCCUGUAACCACAAACUUCUGCUGAACACUCUAACACUACAUUUUUAAAUCUACCCCAUACCUCUUCGACCCCAUACCUCUUCGACAUAUAGUCGGUAAUUCUACCAAAAUCAUUACGACUUUCAUGCUUAUUUUAGGAGGGGUGUUAAUGUUGCAGUUUAACCCUUUGACUGUCGCGGCCGUAUAUAUACGUUUGCGAGGUACCGUGUUUGACGUAUAUAUACUCAUAAAUUCUAGCGGCUUCAAAUCAGGCAGGAGAAAGCUAGUAGGCCCACAUGUGAGAGAAUGGGUCUGUGUGGUCAGUGUGCACCACAUAAAAAAAAUCCUGGAGCACGCAGUGCAUAAUGAGAAAAAAAAAACUCCGACCGUUUUUUUUUAAUUAAAAUGCCGACUUUGUGGUCUAUUUU